UACACAUUGGAUGAUAUGGAUUUGUUAAUCAAAGGAUCAUCAACAGUAGGUGAAGAGACUGUAGCAGAGAUGUUUGAAACUUAUGUAGAAGCCGGACUGAAGGAGGUUAUGGAGAUAAGAAAUGGAUGUACUGAAUAUCAUAGUCCCCACUGGAGACACAUCAGGUUUGUCAAUAAUAUUCCACUCGUACAUCACAUUGAAAUGCGGAAUGAUGCUGAUGGAAUGGGCCGUAGG
This is a long non-coding RNA of Mytilus californianus (California mussel), 234 nucleotides long. RefSeq lists it as uncharacterized. NCBI's taxonomy places the organism in Eukaryota, Metazoa, Mollusca, Bivalvia, Mytilida, Mytilidae. The record is from RefSeq and is a predicted model, not a curated record. The transcript is spliced from 3 exons.